Caenorhabditis elegans is the source of this 68-nucleotide non-coding RNA. The record is from Ensembl. Lineage: Eukaryota; Metazoa; Nematoda; Chromadorea; Rhabditida; Rhabditidae.
UGGGGAGGUACAAGGCGCGCGCGCGCCAAAUUGCUGACCUAAAAAGGGGCGAAAAGUGCGUGUUUCUU